This 396-nucleotide ribosomal RNA is filed under the name uncultured bacterium. RNAcentral's name for it is "partial 16S ribosomal RNA". It matches the Rfam family "Bacterial small subunit ribosomal RNA", at positions 361 to 774 of the family's 1533-position model. The record is from RNAcentral.
AUAUUGCACAAUGGGGGAAACCCUGAUGCAGCGACGCCGCGUGAGCGAAGAAGGCCUUCGGGUCGUAAAACUCUGUCCUAAGGGAAGAAACGGACGGUACCUAAGGAGGAAGCCCCGGCUAACUACGUGCCAGCAGCCGCGGUAAUACGUAGGGGGCAAGCGUUGUCCGGAAUUAUUGGGCGUAAAGGGUGCGUAGGCGGCCUUUUAAGUCAGGUGUGAAAGCCCACGGCUUAACCGUGGGAUUGCAUUUGAAACUGUGUAGCUUGAGUGCAGGAGAGGAAAGUGGAAUUCCUAGUGUAGCGGUGAAAUGCGUAGAGAUUAGGAGGAACACCAGUGGCGAAGGCGACUUUCUGAACUGUAACUGACGCUGAGGUACGAAAGCGUGGGUAGCGAACA